RNAcentral lists this ribosomal RNA (1109 nucleotides) under Rhabdodiscus isidiifer. Its description in RNAcentral is "eukaryotic LSU rRNA". It matches the Rfam family "Eukaryotic large subunit ribosomal RNA", at positions 83 to 1175 of the family's 3401-position model. The record is from RNAcentral. Lineage: Eukaryota; Fungi; Ascomycota; Lecanoromycetes; Ostropales; Graphidaceae.
GUGUUGCCGAGUGAAAGGCGGCAACAGCUCAAAUUAGAAGUACUGGCCUUGCGCCGAGUUGUAAUUUGUAGAAGGUGCUUCGGGCGCGACUCUGGUCCAAAUCCCUUGGAACAGGGCGUCGAAGAGGGUGAGAAUCCCGUACGUGGCCGAGGGUCAAGCCCGUGUGAAGCCCUUUCGACGAGUCGAGUUGUUUGGGAAUGCAGCUCUAAUUGGGUGGUAAAUUUCAUCUAAAGCUAAAUAUCUGCCGGAGACCGAUAGCGCACAAGUAGAGUGAUCGAAAGAUGAAAAGCACUUUGAAAAGAGAGUUAAACAGUACGUGAAAUUGUUGAAAGGGAAGCGCUUGCAACCAGACUCGCUCGCGGGUGCUCAGCCACCUCUUGGGGUGGUGCAUUCUCCCGUGAUCGGGCCAGCAUCGGUUUUGGCGGCUGGAUAAAGGCCCCGGGAACGUAGCUCCUCGGAGUGUUAUAGCCCGGGGUGCAAUGCGGCCAGCUGAGACCGAGGACUGCGCAUCUGCUAGGAUGCUGGCGUAAUGGUUGCCAGCGACCCGUCUUGAAACACGGACCAAGGAGUCGACCAAUCGAGCGAGUGUGUGGGCGUAAACCCCAUUCGCGUAAUGAAAGUGAAGUAGGUGGGAACCUUCGGGUGCACCAUCGACCGAUCCUGAUGUCUUCGGAUGGAUUUGAGUACGAGCCCGGCUGGUCGGACCCGAAAGGUAUUCUUUUUCCAUCCUUGUGUUUCAUGAACUAACGUGUUUUAGAUGGUGAACUAUGCGUGAAUAGGGUGAAGCCAGAGGAAACUCUGGUGGAGGCUCGCAGCGGUUCUGACGUGCAAAUCGAUCGUCAAAUUUGCGCAUAGGGGCGAAAGACUAAUCGAACCAUCUAGUAGCUGGUUCCUGUCGAAGUUUCCCUCAGGAUAGCAGCAACGGAAACAGUCUCAUGAGGUAGAGCGAACGAUUAGAGGCCUUGGGGAAGAAACUUCCCUUAACCUAUUCUCGAACUUCGAAUAUGUGAGAAGUCCUUGUUAACUAGUUGAACGUGGACAUUUCGGAUGAUUCGGUGGCUAUUGGCCCAUUUUUUGGGCAAGCAGUACUCGGUCGAGACCUCCGACAU